AUAUCAGUGGUUCUUUGGACUGGAUUUCAAAUCAGUGGACGAUAUAUUUGUGUUCAGGAUCUCUAUAAGAAUAUGGCAAUUGAUGCCUGUGAUCUGCCAACGCUGACAUAGUUGCCAGCUCAUUGCCACACAGUGAGUACAGAGUUCAGAAACAACUAGCGUGUGCGCAAAUAAAAUCAACUGUCAACUCACACCCCAGUAGCCUGUUCUGUGUUUACUGCACUAACCGGAGCCUUGCCCGCUACUACAUGAGGG
Molecule: long non-coding RNA, 255 nt
Filed under: Haliotis rufescens (red abalone)
Lineage: Eukaryota; Metazoa; Mollusca; Gastropoda; Lepetellida; Haliotidae
Description: uncharacterized LOC125372490
Source: RNAcentral